AACGCACAUUGCGCCUGGUGGUAUUCCACCAGGCAUGCCUGUUUGAGCGUCAUUUCACCCUCAAACUUUUAGUUUGGUAGUGAGUGCACGUAAGUCCACUUGAAAUUUAACUUGCUGAUGAUUAGGAUUACCCAACAUCAACAACCAAAAAGUUUGACCUCAAAUCAGGUAGGACUACCCGCUGAACUUAA
RNAcentral lists this unclassified non-coding RNA (191 nucleotides) under uncultured Saccharomycetales. RNAcentral describes it as "sequence contains ITS2". The stretch from base 1 to 52 matches the Rfam family "5.8S ribosomal RNA", at positions 103 to 154 of the family's 154-position model. Lineage: Eukaryota; Fungi; Ascomycota; Saccharomycetes. The record is from RNAcentral.